Molecule: ribosomal RNA, 1450 nt
Filed under: uncultured prokaryote
Description: partial 16S ribosomal RNA
Rfam family: Bacterial small subunit ribosomal RNA
Source: RNAcentral
AGAGUUUGAUCCUGGCUCAGAACGAACGCUGGCGGCAGGCCUAACACAUGCAAGUCGAACGGACUCUUCGGAGUUAGUGGCGCACGGGUGCGGAACACGUGGGAACAUACCCUUUGGUAAGGAAUAAUAGCUGGAAACGGCUACUAAUACCUUAUAAUGACUUCGGUCCAAAGAUUUAUCGCCAAAGGAUUGGCCCGCGCAUGAUUAGAUAGUUGGUGAGGUAAUGGCUCACCAAGUCUACGAUCAUUAGCUGGUCUGAGAGGACGAUCAGCCACACUGGAACUGAGACACGGUCCAGACUCCUACGGGAGGCAGCAGUGAGGAAUAUUGCACAAUGGGGGAAACCCUGAUGCAGCCAUGCCGCGUGUAUGAAGAAGGCCUUAGGGUUGUAAAGUACUUUCAAUAGUGAAGAUUAUGACGGUAGCUAUAGAAGAAGCCCCGGCUAAAUUCGUGCCAGCAGCCGCGGUAAUACGAAUGGGGCAAGCGUUGUUCGGAAUCACUGGGCUUAAAGCGUACGCAGGCGGAUGUGAAAGUCGGGAGUGAAAUCCCAGGGCUCAACCCUGGAACUGCUCUCGAAACUUCAUAUCUAGAAUCCGGUAGAGGUUGGUAGAAUUCCUAGUGUAGAGGUGAAAUUCGCAGAUAUUAGGAGGAAUACCAGUGGCGAAGGCGGCCAACUGGACCGGUAUUGACGCUCAUGUACGAAAGCGUGGGGAGCAAACAGGAUUAGAUACCCUGGUAGUCCACGCCGUAAACGAUGUAUGCUAGUUGUUGGGGUCUUAAGAUCUCAGUGACGCAGGGAAACCAUUAAGCAUACCGCCUGGGGAGUACGGUCGCAAGACUAAAACUCAAAGGAAUUGACGGGGACCCGCACAAGCGGUGGAGCAUGUUCCUUAAUUCGAAGCAACGCGAAGAACCUUACCCACACUUGACAUCCUUCUUGGAGCUUAUAGAGAUAUAGGCCUUCGGUUCGGCCGGACUAGAUACAGGUGCUGCAUGGCUGUCGUCAGCUCGUGUCGUGAGAUGUUGGGUUAAGUCCCGCAACGAGCGCAACCCUUAUUGUAUGUUGCCAUCAGGUUAAGCUGGGAACUCAUACGAGACUGCCGGUGAUAAGCCGGAGGAAGGCGGGGACGACGUCAAGUCAUCAUGGCCCUUACGUGUGGGGCUACAAACGUGCUACAAUGGUAGUGACAGUGGGCAGCGACCUCGCGAGGGGAAGCUAAUCUCUAAACGCUAUCUCAGUUCGGAUUGUUCUCUGCAACUCGAGAGCAUGAAGUUGGAAUCGCUAGUAAUCGCGCAUCAGCAUGUCGCGGUGAAUACGUUCCCGGGUCUUGUACACACCGCCCGUCACGUCAUGGGAGUUGGUUCUACCCGAAGGCCGUGCGCUAACCAGUUUACUGGAGGCAGCGGACCACGGUAGGGUCAGCGACUGGGACGAAGUCGUAACAAGGUA